RNAcentral lists this ribosomal RNA (345 nucleotides) under Triticum aestivum (bread wheat). RNAcentral describes it as "partial small subunit ribosomal RNA". The record is from RNAcentral. Lineage: Eukaryota; Viridiplantae; Streptophyta; Magnoliopsida; Poales; Poaceae.
AUGAAGAAAAUCUGGGUUCCCAAAAGGUGCCUUGAAAAUCUUCAGAUGAAUGUCAUCAUGACACCACUUGUGAAGAAUAGGAACCCCAGAUCAAAUUCUUCAUAUGGACCAAAUUCUUCAUAUGGAUUCAAGUCCUCAUAUGGGCCAAAUUCCUCAUGUGGAUCAAAUUCCUUAAAAGGAUCAAAGUCCUCAUAUGAACAUCAUCGUGCUAGCAUUUUUGUCUCGCAGAAAAGAUUUAAGGGCUAUGAAUAUGAGCAUUAUUCUUCUAAUCAUUAUGUUCAUAAGUCCUCGAAGAAUUUCUCUGCUUAUUCAUAUGCUUACCCUAAUUCCUCUUAUGUGAAAUGA